AUGGACAAGUCAAGCCUGUACCUAAAAGGGUUUCCUGGUUUGGUACAUCCAACAAGCGCAAGCAUGGAGGAGAGACCAAUGGCCUCUUCCACUUCCUGCAAAGGCCCUGACCACGACGACAAGAGCAAGAAGCACCAGUGCGAGCUGAUCGGCUACGAGGCGCUGCCGGAGUGGCUCAAGGACAACGAGUACAUCCACGGCUACUACCGGUGCGAGUGGCCGAUGAAGGAGACCAUCCUCAGCAUCUUCUCCAUCCACAACGAGACCCUCAACGUCUGGUCGCAUUUGGUAGGAUUCCUGCUGUUCCUGUGCUUGACGAUCCUCACGGCAAUGGUGAUCCCACGGGACGGCGGCGGGAACACAUUUGACGACACGCCAUCGACUAGGAGCUACUGGGGAGAUCUGAUGGCGAUGGCCAACGUGACAGGGGCGCUGAAGCAUGAGGCAGCCGCCUGCCUCCUGCUGCCUCCAGCUGCCGCAGAUUUGUCUGGAAACGAGGAGGAGAUCCCGAACAGCUGUCCACCCAACACAUCAUCCUCGCCCUCUCACCACCAUGUUGCGCUGAUCCAGGCGCAGCAGGACGCGAGCGCGGCGCCACGGGCCGUGGACGCUGCCUCCGCCGAUCCGAUCACGCGGUGGCCGAUGUUCGCGUACCUGUGCGGAGCCAUGGUGUGCCUACUUACGAGCAGCGCAUGCCACCUGGUGCUGUGCCACUCGGAGAGAAUGGCGUACGUGACGCUCCGGCUGGACUACGCCGGCAUCGCCGCCCUGAUCGUCACCUCCUUCUACCCGGUCGUCUACUACUCCUUCCUCUGCCACCCGGGGCUCCAGCGGCUCUACAUGGGCUUCAUCACCGCCUUCGGCGCCGCGGCGGUCACGGCGUCGCUGGUGCCGGUGUUCCAGGCGCCCGAGUUCCGCCCGCUCCGCGCCGGGCUCUUCUCAUGCAUGGGCGUGUCGGGGCUCAUCCCCGUCGCGCACAAGCUCGUGCUAUACGGCGGCCGGCGGGAGGCCGCCGUGACUGCGUGCUACGAGGCGCUCAUGGGCGCGCUCUACGGGCUCGGCGCCGCCGUCUACGCGGCGCGCGUGCCGGAGCGGUGGUUCCCCGGGAGGUUCGACCUCGUCGGGCACAGCCACCAGCUGUUCCAUCUCUUCGUCAUCGCCGGCGCGUACGCGCACUACCUCGGUGGCGUCGAGUACCUCAAGUGGAGGGACGCCGACAGGUGCUGGUGA
Molecule: ribosomal RNA, 1230 nt
Filed under: Triticum aestivum (bread wheat)
Lineage: Eukaryota; Viridiplantae; Streptophyta; Magnoliopsida; Poales; Poaceae
Description: partial small subunit ribosomal RNA
Source: RNAcentral